RNAcentral lists this transfer RNA (77 nucleotides) under Verrucomicrobiota bacterium. RNAcentral describes it as "Verrucomicrobia bacterium (freshwater metagenome) tRNA-Arg". It matches the Rfam family "tRNA". Rfam says of the family: Transfer RNA (tRNA) molecules are approximately 80 nucleotides in length. Their secondary structure includes four short double-helical elements and three loops (D, anti-codon, and T loops). The record is from RNAcentral. Lineage: Bacteria; Pseudomonadati; Verrucomicrobiota.
ACGCCCGUAGCUCAGCUGGAUAGAGUACUGCCCUUCGAAGGCAGGGGUCGUGAGUUCGAAUCUCGCCGGGCGCGCCA